UGAGGAAUAUUGGUCAAUGGGGGCAACCCUGAACCAGCCAUGCCGCGUGAAGGAUGAAGGCCUUAUGGGUUGUAAACUUCUUUUGUAUGGGGCGAACAGUUUCUACGUGUUAGAGGCCUGACAGUACCAUACGAAUAAGCAUCGGCUAACUCCGUGCCAGCAGCCGCGGUAAUACGGAGGAUGCGAGCGUUAUCCGGAUUUACUGGGUUUAAAGGGUGAGUAGGCGGGUAGGUAAGUCAGUGGUGAAAGUCUGUCGCUUAACGAUAGGAUUGCCAUUGAUACUGCUUAUCUUGAGUUCAGUUGAGGCAGGCGGAAUGUGCAGUGUAGCGGUGAAAUGCUUAGAUAUUGCACAGAACACCGAUUGCGAAGGCAGCUUGCUAAACUGAUACUGACGCUGAGUCACGAAAGCGUGGGGAUCAAACAGG
This 425-nucleotide ribosomal RNA is filed under the name uncultured bacterium. RNAcentral's name for it is "bacterial SSU rRNA". It matches the Rfam family "Bacterial small subunit ribosomal RNA", at positions 355 to 776 of the family's 1533-position model. The record is from RNAcentral.